GAUGAAGAACGCAGCGAAAUGCGAUACGUAAUGUGAAUUGCAGAUCUCUCAGUGAACCAUCGAAUCUUUGAACGCACAUUGCGCCCGCCAGCAUUCUGGCGGGCAUGCCUGUUCGAGCGUCAUUUCAACCCUCGACCUCCCCUUGGGGAGGUCGGCGUUGGGGACCGGCAGCACACCGCCGGCCCUGAAAUGGAGUGGCGGCCCGUCCGCGGCGACCUCUGCGCAGUAAUACAGCUCGCACCGGGACCCCGACGCGGCCACGCCGUAAAACACCCAACUUCUGAACGUUGACCUCGAAUCAGGUAGGACUACCCGCUGAACUUAAGCAUAUCAAUAAGCGGAGGA
RNAcentral lists this unclassified non-coding RNA (345 nucleotides) under soil metagenome. RNAcentral describes it as "partial contains 5.8S ribosomal RNA, internal transcribed spacer 2, and large subunit ribosomal RNA". The stretch from base 1 to 122 matches the Rfam family "5.8S ribosomal RNA", at positions 35 to 154 of the family's 154-position model. The record is from RNAcentral.